This 563-nucleotide ribosomal RNA is filed under the name Microcleonus panderi. RNAcentral's name for it is "partial 28S ribosomal RNA". It matches the Rfam family "Eukaryotic large subunit ribosomal RNA", at positions 284 to 645 of the family's 3401-position model. The record is from RNAcentral. Lineage: Eukaryota; Metazoa; Arthropoda; Insecta; Coleoptera; Curculionidae.
AGCCCUAAGUGGGUGGUAAACUCCAUCUAAGGCUAAAUAUGACCACGAGACCGAUAGCGAACAAGUACCGUGAGGGAAAGUUGAAAAGCACUUUGAAGAGAGAGUUCAAGAGUACGUGAAACCGUUUAGGGGUAAACCUGAGAAACCCGAAAGGUCGAAGGAAGAAAUUCAUUCGCGUUUCGUCGCAGGCGUCGAGCGGGAUCGUGUGACGGGAAGCGUUCGCGCGUUUCCCGCGCCUUCCGUUCUUCGAACCGGCGACGAACGCGUGCACUUUUCUUCUGGUAGGACGUCGCGAUCCGUUGGGUGUCGGUCUACGGCUCGCGGUGGAGCCCGUUCGUCGUAUUUCUCGUACGUACGGACGGACCCGCGUGUCCCGGCUGACUCGCUCGACUGUAUACGAAAGGUUUAAGGCCGCUCUCGGAGCGUUCGGCUCGCGGCAAGCGCGCCAGAUGCGUCGGCGAUCGGACCUAGUGCCGAUUCUGACCUCUGGUGACUGUUGGCCGCGAAGUUCUCGAACAGACCUUAAGACCGAUCAGCGACGCUAUAGCUUUGGGUACUUUCAG